Molecule: ribosomal RNA, 1380 nt
Filed under: Mancinella alouina
Lineage: Eukaryota; Metazoa; Mollusca; Gastropoda; Neogastropoda; Muricidae
Description: 16S ribosomal RNA
Rfam family: Archaeal large subunit ribosomal RNA (bases 653-1380)
Source: RNAcentral
ACUUAUAUAUAAGUUGUUUUUAAUAUAGAAAUUAUGCAAUAAGUGUUCUAGAUAACUUAAAACAUUUAUAAAAUUAGUAAAGGUGAUAGAAAUUUAUUUAAUUAAAUGAAAGUACUGUGAAGGAAAAACAAGAGUGGAUAAAUAAAAGAGAUAAAAUCUUGUACCUUUUGCAUCAUGGUUUAACUAGAUUUUGUUCUUACAUAAGAGUUCUCGAAACCUAGUGAGCUAUUUUCGACCAGUACUUUUAGGUAUUUUAAAAGUAAUUGUGGCAAAAAUUUUUUUAGAGUUGAAAAUAGAAAUGAUAUUUUAUUCGUAUUAGGUGAUAGCUAGUUCUUUUCCAAAAGUAUAGAAGUACUGCAAACUUUACUGUAUUGUGGUUUUCACAUUACCAUUAUACAUAUUUAAAGUUAAGUUAGAUUUUUGAGGAUAAGCUCAAGAAUACUCUAAAUUGUAUAUUUGUAUGUUAAAUAGUUAAAUUUAAGCUUGAAAAUGGCUAUAAUAUAUGAUUUUGUUAUAAUUUCAUUACUAUAAAAAACAAAAAAUAAGUUUACUUACUAUAAGAAAAGAAAGCCUUAAGAUUGGAAUUAAGGCUAAAUACAUGUUAAAAUGAGUAUAUAUAUAAACUUUAAUUAUUUAUUAUAAUAGAAAUACAAACUAGAUGUAAUGUUUGAAUUUUAAAUUGUCAAAAGGAACUCGGCAAAAUUUUAUUCCGCCUGUUUAUCAAAAACACCGCUCCUCGUUGUUAUGCAUGUGGAGUCGUACCUGCUCAGUGAAUAAUUUCAACAGCCGCGGUACUCUGACCGUGCAAAGGUAGCAUAAUCAUUUGCCUUAUAAUUGAAGGCUAGUAUGAAUGGUUUGACGAGAAUUAAGCUGUCUCUUUUCAACUAAAUAUAACUUUAUUUACAGGUGAAGAAGCCUGUAUUAUAUUGAAAGACAAGAAGACCCUAUCGAGCUUUAAAUAAUUUAAUAAGUUAACUAUAUAUUGAUAGAAAAAUUAAAUUGUUAAGGAUUUUAGUUGGGGCGACUGAGGAACAAACAAAGCUUCCUUAUUAACAUGGAAACAUACAGGUAUUGAUCCAAUAUUUUUGAUUAAGGGAAUUAGUUACCGUAGGGAUAACAGCAUAAUCCUCUUUGAGAGCUCUUAUCGAAAAGGGGGUUUGUGACCUCGAUGUUGGACCAGAAUAUCCGGAAGAUGCAGCCGUCUUCAAUGGUUGGUCUGUUCGACCAUUAAAAUUCUACGUGAUCUGAGUUCAGACCGGCGUGAGCCAGGUCAGUUUCUAUCUUCAAUUAUUAAAAUGACUUUAGUACGAAAGGACCAAGUUAUUACACUAAGUUGUUACGAGUAGAUUAAAUAUAAAGAGUUAUUAAAUUAUUAAGUAA